AUCUGGGGCCAUACCACAGUCAGCUACCGCAUCCCGUCUGAU
This 42-nucleotide ribosomal RNA is filed under the name Puccinia kuehnii. The record is from RNAcentral. Lineage: Eukaryota; Fungi; Basidiomycota; Pucciniomycetes; Pucciniales; Pucciniaceae.